Long non-coding RNA from Lutra lutra (Eurasian river otter), 437 nucleotides. RefSeq lists it as uncharacterized. NCBI's taxonomy places the organism in Eukaryota, Metazoa, Chordata, Mammalia, Carnivora, Mustelidae. The transcript has 3 exons. The record is from RefSeq and is a predicted model, not a curated record.
CCCACAUCCUUAUCUAUGUGAUCGACUUUCAGGGUUUAAUUCUUGGGUAGUGUUAAAUGAAACGCUCCUCAGAGGGGCUGAUUUUCAUGCCAGACUAACUCUCAGUAUGUAAUCCCAUUUGUUUUUGAAAGAAAUGGCUGUAAAUAGAACGAAUUCGCGCAGAAUUUUAGUGGAAUGCUUAGGAAAACGAGUCCUCUUCUGAGUAGUACCUGUGAGUUGAAAAGGAAACAAAUGUCAUCUUCAGGAAGAAGACUUUGAAGAAAGUGAGAGUAGAAAUGUUCUCUUCUGGUAUCUGGUAAAAACAGGACCUAUGAAGUAUAUCUACCCAAGAAGGAGUCCUUCCCUGAAGACUCUUAUUUAGCUGUGGUCUUCUCUAUAGGAUUGAAAUUUAACAGAAGUAUCUAAUGAAGAGAAUCUGAAUGUAGCAGAUGAGAAAG